Molecule: RNA transcript, 5155 nt
Organism: Liolophura sinensis
Lineage: Eukaryota; Metazoa; Mollusca; Polyplacophora; Chitonida; Chitonidae
Gene name: flavin-containing monooxygenase 5-like
Exons: 6
Source: RefSeq, a predicted model, not a curated record
GUCGAAGUCCGCCAGUGCUGUGGCGAAAGUAUGUGAUAUUUCACCAGACACUAGCCACUGUAAAAAAAAACAUUACAGAUAUUCAAGACUACUUCAGCUGAUUGAAGCAUAAUGGCGAAAAGAGUAGCUGUGAUUGGAGCAGGUGCCAGCGGCUUGACUGCCAUAAAAUGUUGUUUGGAUGAAAAGUUGGAAGUCGUGUGUUUCGAAAGAACUGACGAUAUUGGCGGACUGUGGAAUUACACGGAGGAGGCGCGAAAAGGUCAGGCAUGUGUGAUGAAAUCCACAGUGAUUAACACGAGCAAGGAAAUGAUGGCCUACAGUGACUUUCCUAUUCCCAAAGAGUACUCUAUUUUUAUGCACAACACCUAUGUCAAAAAAUACUUCCAGCUGUAUGCUGAAAACUUUGAUCUUUUGAAACACAUCCGUUUCAAUUCUGAGGUCAUGUAUGUGAAACAGGCAUCUGAUUUCGCUCAAACCGGCAGAUGGGAGAUGGAAGUUCAGGAUGUGGUCAACCAAACAAAAACGACAGAGUAUUUUGACGGGUUGCUGAUUUGCACAGGUCAUCAUGCUGACAUGCAUUUACCAACAUUCCAAGGUCAGGAAAAGUUCAAAGGUCAAAUCCUGCAUUCUCACGACUACAAGGACAUGAAAGGUUACGAGAACAAACGCAUCGUCAUUAUCGGCAUCGGGAACUCCGGAGGAGACAUGGCCGUGGAACUUAGUCGAGUGUCAAAGGUUUUCCUGAGCACUCGAAGAGGGGCCUGGGUUUUGAACCGUGUCGGUGACAAGGGAAUUCCCGCGGACAUGAAUGUAGCUUUCUCUCGCCUCGGUUCUGCCAUCUUUGAUUUGUUACCGAUGUCUGUGAAAGAGAUGCUGGUGCAAAAUAUACUUAACAAUCGCUUCGAUCAUGAAAGAUUUGCUCUGAAGCCACAGCAUUCCUUCUUUGGCCAGCAUCCCACCGUCAAUGACGACCUGCCAAAUCGCAUUGUUUGCGGUGCUGUUACCAUUAAGCCCAACGUAAGGUGCAUCACAGAGACUGGCAUUGAGUUCGACGACGGAACGUUUGAGGAAAACAUUGACGUCAUUGUUUUGGCGACAGGAUACAUUUUCGGCUUCCCGUUCAUGGACAAAUCUGUGAUCGAUGUAAAGAACAACAGAGUCGAGUUGUUCAAGUACAUGUUCCCACCUGAACUGGAGAAGCCUACCUGCGCUGUGAUUGGCUGCUUUCAGCCACUGGGGGCUAUCAUGCCCAUUUCAGAAAUGCAGUGUCGAUUAGCCACUCAAGUCUUUAAGGGCAUUACCAAACUGCCAACGCGCGGAGAGAUGUGGUUUGACAUCAAAAAGAAGGAGGUGGCCAUGGCGAAGCGAUAUGUGGCUUCUCAACGCCACACCAUACAGGUGGACUUUGUACCAAUCAUGGAUGAACUGGCAGAGCUUGUGGGGUGUAAACCUGACUUCAAAGAACUAUUUAAAACAGACCCCAAGCUGGCGUGGAAGUGUCUAACAGGGCCCUGUACCCCGUACCAGUUCCGUCUGAUGGGCCGUCACAAAUGGCCUGGAGCACGAGAUGCGAUCUUCACGCAGUGGGACCGAACGUUCCAUCCACUGAAAACACGUCCAGUCAUGGUUACCACAAAACAGAAGUCUUUGUUUCGUUACUUCUUCAUCCUGUUGUUUGUUGUGAUCAUUUGGUCUUUGUUGUUUUAAAAGCCGAUCAUAGACUUAGGUUUUUCUUUACUCCACUGACACGCUUAAUCAGUUUUUACAGGUUUUCCUAUUUCUGGUACCUGCCCUAAAUGACCAUAAAUUUUGUCCAUGGCUUAAGAGCUGAUUUUUCCUGAUUCUGAGAGUUCUGUUGAUUUUAGAAAGGUGUCUUUAGGUUUGCUUGGAACAUUGGAUGAUAUCCUGCUGGGAAAAUGCCAGUUUCAGGAGCAAAAAUAAUAUUUUCUGACAAUUAUUUGCCUGUAAAAUGUACUUUUGAGGAUGAAAUUCGAGGUGCAUUAUUGUAAUUUUUUUCAUUUUUUAGGACAGAUAUUAGUAGUGCAGAAAGCGAAAUAUUACAUUUUUCUCCCAGUUAAUGUGGAAAAGUAAAGAUUUUUAAGUUGUUCAUGAGAUGGACUGAGUCACAAUAAGUGGUUGGCAGGGUUUGUGGGGCCUGAGUCACAAUAAGUGGUUGGCAGGGUUUGUGGGGCCUGAGUCACAAUAAGUAGUUGGCGGAGUUUGUGGGGCCUGAGUCACAAUAAGUGGUUGACAAGGUUUGUGGGGCCUGAAUCACAAUAAGUGGUUGACAAAGUUUAUGGGGCCUGAGUCACAAUAAGUGGUUUGUGGCGCCCGAGUCACAAUAACUGGUUGGUGUGGUUUGUGGGGCCUGAGUCACAAUAAGUGGUUGGCAGAGUUUGUGGGGACUGAGUCACAAUAAGUAGUUGGCGGAGUUUGUGAGACCCGAGUCACAAUAAAUGGUUGACAUGGUUUGUAGGGCCCAACUCACAAUAAGUGGCUGGCGGGGUUUGUGGGGUUUACCUCACAGUAAGUGAUUGACGAGAUUUGUGGGGCCUUAAUCACAGUAAGUGAUCGAUGGGGUUUGUCGUAACUUGCCAAAGGUUGGUGGUUUACUCCAGGCAAUUUCAUUUCACUUAACGUCGAAUAAGCGAAAAAUUCUUAAGUAUGUCGUUAAGAAAAGACAGCUGAUAACGUAACCUUUGUUACAGUAUAUCUUAAGAUGGAUGAAAACUGGCCUACAUGUAAAUAUAGCCAAAGCCGUUUUAUCCUGAUGUCCUUGAUAAACUCCAUAAAUCAUCUUUUAAUCGGGACUUCAUAUGAAGGCAUGGGAUACUCUGUGUAAAGAAACUGCAUACAUGGUGUCAUGAAACAUGUACCCUACGUAUAUUCUGUAAGACGGAUCGAAAGCUGGAGACCACAUGAUCUCCGUAGUAACAACGUGGGCGAAGAAAACGGUCCUCCCAACAGGAAAAUGCCUAUUUUUGAGUCGCUAUCAGCGAUUAUUCGUUGAAUUUGUAUGCUUUUCAGCUUUCCAGAUAGUCUGAGUAUUUCUGCAGAGCUUCUCACCAAUGUGGUCGCAGUUAGUUCAAGUCCAGCUCAUGCUGGUUUCCUCUCCGGCCGUACAUGGGAAGGUCUGCCAACAACCUGCGGAUGGUCGUGGGUUUCCCCCAGGCUCUGCCCUGUUUCCUCCCACCAUAAUGCUGCCCGCCGUCAUAUAAGUGAAAUAUUCUUUAGUACGGGGUAAAACACCAAUCAAAUAAGUAAAUAUUUCUACAGAGCUUUCAUGACUUUAUUUUGUACAACUAGGCCUUACUGUUCGCUGGCGAAGUGGCAAGAAGUGACCUUUUCCCAAGUGCUUUAAUAGAGCCACAGGAGACAUAAAUCUGUUUGCUCAUACUCUUGUAGCUUAUACACAAAGCAGGAUAUAAAUAUAUAAUAGGAUAUAAAUAUAGAGUAAAAUUUUACAGAAUCGUCUGGUUUUAGAAGAAUCUUUAUUUUGAACUAUUUCUGUUUAAUGCACUGAUUUACAGUGAAACAAAAUUUACAUUUUUAAUAUCAAAACCUUAAUUAGUGUGUAUUUUUGAUAGAAGAACUGCAUACACUUCAUAUAUCCUUGUGCUUGAACAUCUAUACGUGGUUAUGCUGAAUUUGUAGAAAUUCAUUUUAUUAUUUUAUUGAAAUCUGCUGGAUUUAAUUUGUAUGCACUUGUACGAUAUCUGUGUAUAAAUAUUUGCGACGCAGUUUGAUUUAUUUUGCAUUCGCUAAUUUGUUUUUAUUUAAAUGCAAGGCAGGUGAUGUUUGGCAGCAUAAUUUUUAAUGUUACUCUAUCACAAUUCCGCACAUUUGCUGAAAUCUGAUUAAUGAAUAUAAUAUAUAUAUCAUAUUUUAGAUAUGAACUGAGAGAAGCAUUUGUGAUUAUUGCUGUCAUGCGUUAUAUGAAUGAUAUUGGGCCGAGGUCUCCAUGCCUACAAUAGUUAGCGUGCUAAUACAGAAAACUGACCUAGGAGCCUGUCACUAAUGAGGUCACUAUAACAGCGGUGGUAACGUCUACUUUUGUGAGAUGUCGGUUAAUCGCGGCAUAUGUAAAUCAGUCAGAAGAGAAUGCCAAAGUUUGGUGAUACUGAAGCUUUAUUUGUUGGAAAUGGAGAACGGCAGCCUGAAAAUCUCGAUACAUUGAGUCACAUAUGUUGUACAUGUAGUUAAGGGCAUUUACCCGUGGCAUUGUAAACUGCUGGUUUUCUUACAUGUGCACAGGUUUACUUGUUCGACAAGUUUACUUGUUUAUUUUGUUACAUGCAUAUACGCGUUUUUGUGUUGCUAUGGGCGACAACAUACCGGGAAACCUCGGCUGGAAAUACCGUCGCCCAGCCUCCUCUUUUAUGGUUGUCCAGUAGCUAUCCCAGCAUCCUCUUUUAUGGUCCUUGGUCCAGUAGCUAUCCCAGCAUCCUCUUUUAUGGUUUUUUUGUCCAGUACCUAUCACAGCAUCCUUUUUUAUGGUCCUUUCUCUAGUAGCUAUCCCAGAAUCCUCUGUUAUGGUCCUUUGUCCAGUAGCUAUCCUAGAAUCCUCUUUUAUGGUCCUGUGUCCAGUAGCUAUACCAGAAUCCUCUUUUAUGGUCCUUUGGCCCGUAACUAUCCCAGCAUCCUCUUUUAUGGUCCUUUGUCCAGUACCUAUCCCAGCAUCCUCUUUUAUGGUCCUGUGUCCAGUAGCUAUCCCAGCAUUUUUUUCCCACAUGUUAGGAACUGAGGUCUUAACGGUCUGAGGUCUUCAAAGUGCCACAAACUCUGCAGAGCUCUUUAACUGAAUUCUCCUCUUUCUCCAAACUAUAUACAUGUAUAUUUAUGCCUCAGGACUAGAUGGAAUUUUCCUCUAUAGUCUACUAGUUUUCGCCCAUGACUCAGUGGUGUGUGUUCAAUACCGACCAUGGACAAGAAAUUUGUAGGUUUCAGUAAUCUUACAGUUCGUAGUGGCCUUGGUGAGAAUACACGUGGUGUCUUUCACCAAAACGCCUGGCACAUCAUACUGGGGGAAGUUUGUACAUGUGACUUGCCAAUUAUUGGUCGUUUACCAUGGGCACUCUGGUUUCCGCCAGGUAUCCACAUAAGUAGAAAAAUUUUGUCGUUUUGAACAACAAUGAAUAAAUCAAUUAAAAAAUUA